Transfer RNA from Hirsutella minnesotensis 3608, 98 nucleotides. It matches the Rfam family "tRNA". From Rfam's summary of the family: Transfer RNA (tRNA) molecules are approximately 80 nucleotides in length. Their secondary structure includes four short double-helical elements and three loops (D, anti-codon, and T loops). The record is from Rfam. NCBI's taxonomy places the organism in Eukaryota, Fungi, Ascomycota, Sordariomycetes, Hypocreales, Ophiocordycipitaceae.
GGUCCCAUAGCUCAGUAGGUUAGAGCGUCGUACUAAUAAUUGGAGUCCUCCAAAUGUUGGUGAUGCGAAGGUCUCAGGUUCGAGCCCUGGUGGGACCA